CUAUUGGAGUAACCCAUCUGUCCUCAUGGAGCCUACUUUCAGAUACAAAUCGAUUCAAAUCAUCUAAUUGCUUUAGGACAGUCUUUGAACAAGUGCUCCCUCGUUUCCGCUCUCGUUUGACACCUUCAGCAAAUGGCAGAACCCAUCAACCGUCUAUAGUGUAAAUUAUUAUAGUUAGGCAGAUAGUUACGAGAGCAACGCCAAAAUGUAACUUUGAUUUUAGAUGGCAACUCAAGAUUCCAUAAUCGCUUGUAAAAUUGUUUGUAACUAUUCUGUAAUUGGUUCGGACCUUCAUGUAAAA
Gossypium arboreum is the source of this 301-nucleotide long non-coding RNA. RefSeq lists it as uncharacterized. The transcript has 2 exons. The record is from RefSeq and is a predicted model, not a curated record. Lineage: Eukaryota; Viridiplantae; Streptophyta; Magnoliopsida; Malvales; Malvaceae.